RNAcentral lists this ribosomal RNA (1389 nucleotides) under Triticum aestivum (bread wheat). RNAcentral describes it as "partial small subunit ribosomal RNA". Lineage: Eukaryota; Viridiplantae; Streptophyta; Magnoliopsida; Poales; Poaceae. The record is from RNAcentral.
AUGGCGACGUCGACUCCGGCGCCGUGGUCUGAACUCCCGCAUGACGUACUAGACCUCAUCAUCGACCGCCUCGUGUCCUCUCCUCCACGGAGAGGCUUCUUCCCCUCGGCGUGGUCGCUAGUCCGAUGGGUCCUUGGUUUCUCCGCUGACUUCGAGAAGGUGCGACGUGACCGUCAUUGGGUCUCUGCCGCUGAUCGAGCCCGCUUCCGUGCGGUGUGCCGUUCGUGGCAUCUGGCUAUGCGCCGGCACCUUUCGGCUUCACGGCAGCUACCCUGGAUUGUCAUGUCAGACGGCUCGUUCUACACACCUUCGGACGAUGUUUGCACCUCGCCGCCCCGGCUCCCCACCUUGCCCAGCAACACAACGUGCAUUGGCUCCACCGACGAUUGGCUCACCAUUGACUUCACCGACGCCAAGAAGAUGCAUAGCUACUCCUUGCACAAUCCGUUUACUGGCAUCACCGUGCCGCUCCCCGAGCUGGAUGCUGUCAUCGGCGAUGUUUCCGAGCUUUUCAUGGUUCGUAAAGUGCUCCUACGGUCAACGCCUUCUGACAUCAUCGCUGUCAUGACGAAUAGCCGCAAUCGCCCUCUCAUCUUAAUCCGGACGGGGAAGGGUGUGUGGUUGCCUGAGCCACAAACUGGUCCCUUCAUCUACAUCGUUGACAUUGCUUUUCUUGGAGAUAAAUUAUAUGGAAUCACGGAGGCAGAGGACCUUGUCUCCCUCAGUAUAGAUUUUGAUAGCGAUGGUAUACCCACCGUUACUAGCAUCGAACGCCUCAUUAGACACCCACCAGGUUAUUAUCAUUUUGGCGUGUGGAGUGAUGAUGAUGAUAAUUCUGAGUCCGGAAUCAAUGAUGUGGGCACUAAGGACAAGGUCACGAAUAUUGAUGAAGGCCAUAUCGAGGUACCGAGCAAGGAAGAUUCCGAGGAGCACGCCUUAGAUGAACUUGAGAAGAAAACCGACGACGACGUGAUUCUUGAAGGCGCAACAUGUUGGAUAGAUGAUGAGGUGCCAUAUGAACCUAAGGAUUUCAUCACCCUCAAUCGGCACUUGGUUAAGUCAUGUGGGAAACUGCUAAUGGUGAAGCGACAAUUGCAUUGGCCUUCUUAUAGUAUCAACUUCACCCGCAAGGUGGAGGUUUAUGAGGCGGAUGUCAAUGGAGACGCGCACUGGGUGCCGAUUUCAGGUGGGCUGGGCAGUCAAGCGCUUUUCAUCAGCAGAUUCUUCUGCAAGUCCAUUUCUACUCGUGAAGACGUGGACCAAGAUGCUCUUCAUUUUAUUGACACGGGCGAGAAAUACGAUAUGAAAUCCCAAAGUCUGAGCCCCAGCUGGAAGGAGAUUGACUACCAUGGGUCAACGUGGAUAUUUUCUCCCGAGCUAGUGGUUUAA